Molecule: ribosomal RNA, 784 nt
Filed under: uncultured Candidatus Poseidoniales archaeon
Lineage: Archaea; Methanobacteriati; Thermoplasmatota; Candidatus Poseidoniia; Candidatus Poseidoniales
Description: SSU rRNA
Rfam family: Archaeal small subunit ribosomal RNA
Source: RNAcentral
UGCGAGUCGAGAGUCUUAGGGACUCGGCGUACCGCUCAGUAACACGUGGGUAACCUGCCCUAUGCUGGGGAAUAACCUCGGGAAACUGAGAAUAAUGCCCCAUAGUUCACUACGCCUGGAACGGUGAGUGGAUGAAAGCUCCGGCGGCAUAGGAUGGGCCUGCGGCGUAUCAGGUCGUAGGGGGUGUAACGUACCCUCUAGCCAUCGACGCGUACGGGUGUUGGGAGACAUAGCCCGGAGAUGGAUUCUGAGACACGAAUCCAGACCCUACGGGGUGCAGCAGGCGCGAAAACUUGGCAAUGCGAGAAAUCGUGACCAGGGAACUCCAAGUGGCUGGGGUAAGACCCAGUCUUUUCUUUUCUCUUCAAAGGAUUUGGAAUAAGAGGUGGGUAAGGACGGUGCCAGCCGCCGCGGUAAUACCGGCGCCUCGAGUGGUAGUCGAUUUUAUUGGGCCUAAAACGUCCGUCGCCGGUCUGGUGCAUCCGUGGGUAAAUCAACCCGCUCAACGGGUUGAAUUCUGCGAGCACGGCCAGACUAGGGACCGGGAGAGGUGUGGGGUACGCUCGGGGUAGGGGUAAAAUCCUGUCAUCCCGAGCGGACCACCUGUCGCGAAGGCUCCACACUAGAACGGAUCCGACGGUCAGGGACGAAGCCUAGGGGCACGAACCGGAUUAGAUACCCGGGUAGUCCUAGGUGUAAACGCUGUGGACUUGGUGUUGGGGAUUCUCCGAGGAUUCUCAGUGCCGAAGCGAAGGUGAUAAAUCCACUGCCUGGGGAGUACGUC